Molecule: ribosomal RNA, 253 nt
Filed under: uncultured bacterium
Lineage: Bacteria
Description: partial 16S ribosomal RNA
Rfam family: Bacterial small subunit ribosomal RNA
Source: RNAcentral
UACAGAGGUCUCAAGCGUUGUUCGGAUUCAUUGGGCGUAAAGGGUGCGUAGGCGGCGCGGUAAGUCGGGUGUGAAAUCUCGGAGCUUAACUCCGAAACUGCAUUCGAUACUGCCGUGCUUGAGGACUGGAGAGGAGACUGGAAUUUACGGUGUAGCGGUGAAAUGCGUAGAUAUCGUAAGGAAGACCAGUGGCGAAGGAGGCUCUCUGGGACGGUACUGACGCUGAGACGCGAAAGCGUGGGGAGCGAACAGG